This 886-nucleotide long non-coding RNA is filed under the name Chinchilla lanigera (long-tailed chinchilla). RNAcentral's name for it is "lncRNA (ENSCLAG00000027513.1)". Lineage: Eukaryota; Metazoa; Chordata; Mammalia; Rodentia; Chinchillidae. The record is from RNAcentral.
GUGAAAGAGCCUCAGUCAACAAAAAUUAAAACCAGCGAGUAUGGUGGCCACUGUGGAGAAGUCUGGCCCCUCUCCAGAAAGAGGCCUGGAUGUUCCCUCUGCUGACCUCCUCAGAAAUAUGCGGCCUCCCGCUGGACAGCCCAUGCUUGCAUCCUCUGGGGACACAAGGCGUGGCCAAGGUGGGAUGGCUGUCUUUAGUGACACCUACUGAUAAGAGCCAAUCGGAACCAUGGCCGAAUUCCUUUGGGCUGGACCUGCCAACAAACUGCUCAGCCCUCCAGAUGUUGCUGCUUUGUGAGAAAUGAGAACUCAAUAAACCAGGCUCACCCUUCCUCCUGGGGUGAGCGCAAAGACAGUCAGAUAUGGAAAAUCACUGCUCCGCACCAUGAACAAUGCACGCAAACGAGGGGAUGGGCCCGACCGUAUUUGUCUUGGUGGAACAGACAGCCAUGAAGCCUGAUGCAAGAAUUUUAGCUGGCAACCGUUCAAAAUGUGACUAUACAUUGCAAUUGCUCAACAAAAGGGGGCCCUUAGCCGGGAGAAAGCCCAAAAAUAGGCUUAAAGAACUAGCUAGAGGAGCUUGUAAAAAGGGUUAAAUAUGUAUCACACAUGACUUUAUGAUGCUGAACGUUUCUCCACCUUCUGUGUUUUUCACAUUUCAUUCUUUGGUGUUAUGUAAUAAAUCAGAAAGAUGCAGCAGUAAAUAGCCUCAUGGCACAUCCGAAGCUUCAGUGAAUAAUAUCCAGUGAGCACUCGCCGUUCUGGAACAAAAUGAACUAAAGUGAAUUAGUUCCUGUCCUCCAGACCAGAGUGUCCCAAUCUUUCUUAGUACAGGACACACUUGUGACCUUGCUGUGAGAAAUAAAUGUGUCGCCGUCUCUUCUCC